GAUGAACGCUGGCGGCGUGCCUAAUACAUGCAAGUCGAGCGAACGGACGAGAAGCUUGCUUCUCUGAUGUUAGCGGCGGACGGGUGAGUAACACGUGGAUAACCUACCUAUAAGACUGGGAUAACUUCGGGAAACCGUAGCUAAUACCGGAUAAUAUUUUGAACCGCAUGGUUCAAAAGUGAAAGACGGUCUUGCUGUCACUUAUAGAUGGAUCCGCGCUGCAUUAGCUAGUUGGUAAGGUAACGGCUUACCAAGGCAACGAUGCAUAGCCGACCUGAGAGGGUGAUCGGCCACACUGGAACUGAGACACGGUCCAGACUCCUACGGGAGGCAGCAGUAGGGAAUCUUCCGCAAUGGGCGAAAGCCUGACGGAGCAACACAGCGUGAGUGAUGAAGGUCUUCGGAUCGUAAAACUCUGUUAUUAGGGAAGAACAUAUGUGUAAGUAACUGUGCACAUCUUGACGGUACCUAAUCAGAAAGCCACGGCUAACUACGUG
RNAcentral lists this ribosomal RNA (497 nucleotides) under uncultured bacterium. RNAcentral describes it as "partial 16S ribosomal RNA". It matches the Rfam family "Bacterial small subunit ribosomal RNA", at positions 28 to 507 of the family's 1533-position model. The record is from RNAcentral.